UCAAAUUUUUGAAAUAAAGGCUUAAUUGAGUUGAGUAAACUCUAAAUCAGAGUAUCACACUUGCACAUCUUUUUAUAGGAAGUUGAGCUACGAUAGGUUGGUCUGUUCUUUGGUAUCUGAAACCUCAAUUUGUAGCCACAUUCUGCAACCAGAAUUAUUGAUGCACUUUCAAAGAAGCUAUAUUAAUCUUUUUUAAUUAAAUCAUGCCUCAUUAUUGAUUGUCUUUUACAUUAGUAUCAAUAUCAUACCCUUUAUAUAGAUAUCAAAUAUUGAAAUUAUUCAGUGCAUUUUCUGUAAUUGCAGGUUCCUGGCAUCCUA
Molecule: unclassified non-coding RNA, 318 nt
Filed under: Hevea brasiliensis (rubber tree)
Lineage: Eukaryota; Viridiplantae; Streptophyta; Magnoliopsida; Malpighiales; Euphorbiaceae
Source: RNAcentral